Molecule: non-coding RNA, 110 nt
Organism: Caenorhabditis elegans
Lineage: Eukaryota; Metazoa; Nematoda; Chromadorea; Rhabditida; Rhabditidae
Source: Ensembl
AGAACGUGACAUUCAAAACAAUUCGUCUUAUUCUUCUGCUUCUCCUUUUUUUUGAAGAAAUGGAACGGAAGAGGAAAGUGAUAAAUUCAAUCAUGUGGGUUUUUUGGAGG